AUUGAACGCUGGCGGCAGGCCUAACACAUGCAAGUCGAGCGAGCGGCGGACGGGUGAGUAAUGUCUGGGGAACUGCCCGAUGGAGGGGGAUAACUACUGGAAACGGUAGCUAAUACCGCAUACCAUCAGAUGUGCCCAGAUGGGAUUAGCUAGUAGGUGGGGGAACGGCUCACCUAGGCGACGAUCCCUAGCUGGUCUGAGAGGAUGAGCAGCCACACUGGAACUGAGACACGGUCCAGACUCCUACGGGAGGCAGCAGUGGGGAAUAUUGCACAAUGGGCGCAAGCCUGAUGCAGCCAUGCCGCGUGUAUGAAGAAGGCCUUAGGGUUGUAAAGCACUUUCAGCCGGGAGGCGUUACCGGCAGAAGAAGCACCGGCUAACUCCGUGCCAGCAGCCGCGGUAAUUC
RNAcentral lists this ribosomal RNA (406 nucleotides) under uncultured bacterium. RNAcentral's name for it is "partial 16S ribosomal RNA". It matches the Rfam family "Bacterial small subunit ribosomal RNA", at positions 30 to 526 of the family's 1533-position model. The record is from RNAcentral.